UGGGGAAUAUUGGACAAUGGGCGCAAGCCUGAUCCAGCCAUGCCGCGUGAGUGAUGAAGGCCUUAGGGUUGUAAAGCUCUUUCGCCGGUGAAGAUAAUGACGGUAACCGGAGAAGAAGCCCCGGCUAACUUCGUGCCAGCAGCCGCGGUAAUACGAAGGGGGCUAGCGUUGCUCGGAAUCACUGGGCGUAAAGCGCACGUAGGCGGAUCGUUAAGUCAGGGGUGAAAUCCUGGAGCUCAACUCCAGAACUGCCCUUGAUACUGGCGAUCUCGAGUUCGAGAGAGGUUGGUGGAACUCCGAGUGUAGAGGUGAAAUUCGUAGAUAUUCGGAAGAACACCAGUGGCGAAGGCGGCCAACUGGCUCGAUACUGACGCUGAGGUGCGAAAGCGUGGGGAGCAAAACAGGAUUAGAUACCCUGGUAGUCCACGCCGUAAAACGAUGGAUGCUAGCCGUUGGGGGGUUUACCUCUCAGUGGCGCAGCUAACGCCUUAAGCAUCCCGCCUGGGGAGUACGGUCGCAAGAUUAAAAACUUAAAUGAAUUGACGGGGUCAUAGCUGUUUCCU
RNAcentral lists this ribosomal RNA (563 nucleotides) under uncultured bacterium. RNAcentral's name for it is "partial 16S ribosomal RNA". It matches the Rfam family "Bacterial small subunit ribosomal RNA", at positions 355 to 1375 of the family's 1533-position model. The record is from RNAcentral.